Molecule: transfer RNA, 76 nt
Filed under: Gemmata sp. SH-PL17
Lineage: Bacteria; Pseudomonadati; Planctomycetota; Planctomycetia; Gemmatales; Gemmataceae
Description: tRNA-Ser
Rfam family: tRNA
About the family: Transfer RNA (tRNA) molecules are approximately 80 nucleotides in length.
Source: RNAcentral
GGUGAUGUAGACCAACUGGAAGGAGUCGCCACGCUCAGAACGUGGACAGUGUGGGUUCAAAUCCCACCGUCACCAC